RNAcentral lists this ribosomal RNA (253 nucleotides) under uncultured bacterium. Its description in RNAcentral is "partial 16S ribosomal RNA". It matches the Rfam family "Bacterial small subunit ribosomal RNA", at positions 524 to 776 of the family's 1533-position model. The record is from RNAcentral.
UACGAAGGGGGCUAGCGUUGCUCGGAUUGACUGGGCGUAAAGGGCGCGUGGGCGGUUCGUACAGUCAGACGUGAAAUUCCUGGGCUCAACCUGGGGGCUGCGUUUGAUACGUGCGGACUUGAGUGCGGAAGAGGGUCGUGGAAUUCCCAGUGUAGAGGUGAAAUUCGUAGAUAUUGGGAAGAACACCGGUGGCGAAGGCGGCGACCUGGUCCGAUACUGACGCUGAGGCGCGAAAGCGUGGGGAGCAAACAGG